RNAcentral lists this unclassified non-coding RNA (599 nucleotides) under Hevea brasiliensis (rubber tree). The record is from RNAcentral. Lineage: Eukaryota; Viridiplantae; Streptophyta; Magnoliopsida; Malpighiales; Euphorbiaceae.
AGAAACUCUGGGUAAGGUAAAAGGUCCUGCAAAAUCUAAUAAAAUGAAAGACCAAGUGGAGAAAGACAGAUAUCUGUUUAAACGCAGAGAUGAGCCUGUUAACCUGAAAGUCCACCAAGUUGGUCCAGCACAAGCAGGUUCAUCUGACCAGUCCGCUCAUCUAGACAGCUCCUCCUUUGCAGGAAAAGAUGUAUCUCCUAGUGCUGCUGAUGCCUCUGGCUCCACCUUGAUUGAGAGCUUUAAGCAGCCCUCAAGUCAGGUAGCUAAUGUGGAAGAACUUCAUGUAGAAAGACAAGCUGAAGAUGGUGGUACUGAUGUUGUGCGGCCUUCAGAUAAAGUCAAGGUUCGUAAACGUUCUGGUGGAGAAGCGAGUGGUGGAAGUAGUCCAUCAACUGAGAGGAAGAAAAAGAAGAAGAAGGUGGUGUUGGGCAUGAAAACUGAAUCUAAUCAUAGGGAUGCACCAGCAGCAGCUGUUUCUUCAGAUAAUCAGGUAAUGGAAAAAGUUGCAAGAGAGUCUAUCCAAGUUCCUUCAGUUUCCAAGGAAGAACUUCAAAUGGAUAUUCAGCAAAAGGGUGAUCCUGCAGAUAGCUCUGUGCCUG